AACGGCUGGCGGCGUGCCUAAUACAUGCAAGUCGAACGGUCUUUCUAUGGAAGCUUGCUUCCACUGAGAAGAUAGUGGCGAACGGGUGAGUAACACGUGGGUAACCUGCCCAUAAGAGGGGGAUAACAUCCGGAAACGGGUGCUAAUACCGCAUAGUUUUCUUGAUCGCAUGAUCGGGAAAGGAAAGACGGCCUUUGUGCUGUCGCUUAUGGAUGGACCCGCGGCGUAUUAGUUAGUUGGUGAGGUAACGGCUCACCAAGACGAUGAUACGUAGCCGACCUGAGAGGGUGAUCGGCCACAUUGGGACUGAGACACGGCCCAAACUCCUACGGGAGGCAGCAGUAGGGAAUCUUCCGCAAUGGACGAAAGUCUGACGGAGCAACGCCGCGUGAGUGAAAGAAGGUUUUCGGAUCGUAAAACUCUGUUGUCAGAGAAGAACAAGUUGGAGAGUAACUGCUCCAGCCUUGACGGUAUCUGACCAGAAAGCCACGGCUAACUACGUGCCAGCCGCGGC
RNAcentral lists this ribosomal RNA (514 nucleotides) under uncultured bacterium. RNAcentral's name for it is "bacterial SSU rRNA". It matches the Rfam family "Bacterial small subunit ribosomal RNA", at positions 35 to 518 of the family's 1533-position model. The record is from RNAcentral.